AUAUCAAUAAGCGGAGGAAAAGAAACCAACAGGGAUUACCUCAGUAACGGCGAGUGAAGCGGUAACAGCUCAAAUUUGAAAGCUGCCAACAGGCCGCGUUGUAAUUUGUAGAAGCUGCUUUGGGUGUCGGCCCGGUCUAAGUUCCUUGGAACAGGACGUCAUAGAGGGUGAGAAUCCCGUCUUGGACCGGCGGUAGGGCCUAUGUAAAACUCCUUCGACGAGUCGAGUUGUUUGGGAAUGCAGCUCAAAAUGGGUGGUAAAUUUCAUCUAAAGCUAAAUAUUGGCCAGAGACCGAUAGCGCACAAGUAGAGUGAUCGAAAGAUGAAAAGCACUUUGAAAAGAGAGUUAAACAGUAUGUGAAAUUGUUGAAAGGGAAGCGCUUGCAACCAGACUUGAGCGCGGCGGUUCCCCUAGCCUUUUGGCUAGGUUACUCCGCCGUGUCCAGGCCAACAUCGGUUCUGAGGGUCGGUCAAAGGCCUUGGGAAUGUAUCUACCUACGGGUAGACUUAUAGACCAGGGUGUCAUGCGGCCUCUCGGGACCGAGGAACGCGCUUCGGCUCGGAUGUUGGCGUAAUGGUUGUCAGCGA
RNAcentral lists this ribosomal RNA (587 nucleotides) under uncultured fungus. Its description in RNAcentral is "eukaryotic LSU rRNA". It matches the Rfam family "Eukaryotic large subunit ribosomal RNA", at positions 40 to 647 of the family's 3401-position model. Lineage: Eukaryota; Fungi. The record is from RNAcentral.